GUUUACCAGAAGGCGUGCGCUAACCCGCAAGGGAGGCAGCCGACCACGGUAGGGUCAGCGACUGGGGUG
Molecule: ribosomal RNA, 69 nt
Filed under: uncultured bacterium
Lineage: Bacteria
Description: partial 16S ribosomal RNA
Source: RNAcentral